UGGUAUUUCAUUCCUACACAGGAAUGACUGCCCAGAGCAAUGGAUGUGAAUCUCAGUCAGUGUGGAUUUUUUAUUUAUUUAUUUUACUUUUACUUCAUUUUCAGACUGCUGCCACCCAGAGAAGAGUGAAUGUGGGCAGACUUUCACCUGCCAUCACAGGACCUUAUUUCUUUUCUUAAACCCUAUCAAGAAUGCUCUUGAGAAGAGAAUUGUUGAGGAACUGGUUGCAUAGUCCUUGAGAAUACUGAUCACUGUUAAUUAGGUUAAACUCUUUGUGAUAGAUCAUAUCAGGUACCCUCUUAAAAAAAAGAUUUUUUUUUCCUUUCUUUUUUUUUUUUUCCUUUUUCCUCCCAGGAUAUUGGCUGCUCAGAAUGGUACCUGUUGCCAGUGCUGCUGAGCUUCAGAAUCAUAGAACGUAUCCACUGGCUUUUCAUCCUCUAUGUUUUUUUUUUUUUUUUUUUCGUUUUGGUUUUAUGAGUUUGACUGAUCCUGUUCUACAACUCCAGUUAAAUAAAGUACUUGGGAAGAGAACUGACAAUGGUCUCAUGAAAUAUGAUUUGCUAUGAUGGAAGAUGGAAAGGUAAACAUCCAUGAAGAGGUACAGUGUUAGCCUGAAACUGCCCUGAAGGCGUGAGUUUGGAGAUCAAGGUAUAGUUCAUCAUAAAGAGCAACCUAGUGCAAAUUUCUGGUCUAGUAAGACUCAACUACAUUUUUGUGUGUUCAAAUUUGGAAUUUUG
Molecule: long non-coding RNA, 737 nt
Filed under: Anas platyrhynchos platyrhynchos (common mallard)
Lineage: Eukaryota; Metazoa; Chordata; Aves; Anseriformes; Anatidae
Description: lncRNA (ENSAPLG00000023917.1)
Source: RNAcentral